CCUACGGGGGGCAGCAGUGGGGAAUAUUGGACAAUGGGGGGAACCCUGAUCCAGCGACGCCGCGUGAGUGAAGAAGUAUUUCGGUAUGUAAAGCUCUAUCAGCAGGGAAGAAAGAAAUGACGGUACCUGACUAAGAAGCCCCGGCUAACAACGUGACAGCAGCCGCGGUAAUACGGAGGGGGCAAGCGUUAUCCGGAUUUACUGGGUGUAAAGGGAGCGUAGACGGCGAUGCAAGUCUGAAGUGAAAGGCGUGGGCCCAACACCUGGACUGCUUUUGAAACUGUAUGGCUGGAGUGCAGGAGAGGUGAGUGGAAUUCCUAGUGUAGCGGUGAAAUGCGUAGAUAUUAGGAGGAACACCGGUGGCGAAGGCGGCUUACUGGACUGUAACUGACGUUGAGGCUCGAAAGCGUGGGGAGCAAACAGGAUUAGAUACCCCUGUAGUC
Molecule: ribosomal RNA, 443 nt
Filed under: uncultured bacterium
Lineage: Bacteria
Description: partial 16S ribosomal RNA
Rfam family: Bacterial small subunit ribosomal RNA
Source: RNAcentral